GAUCCUGGCUCAGGAUGAACGCUAGCUACAGGCUUAACACAUGCAAGUCGAGGGGAAACGAUAUUGGAAGCUUGCUUCCGAUAGGCGUCGACCGGCGCACGGGUGAGUAACGCGUAUCCAACCUGCCCACCACUUGGGGAUAACCUUGCGAAAGUAAGACUAAUACCCAAUGAUAUCUCUAGAAGACAUCUGAAAGAGAUUAAAGAUUUAUCGGUGUACGAUGGGAUGCGUUCCAUUAGGUAGUAGG
This 247-nucleotide ribosomal RNA is filed under the name uncultured bacterium. RNAcentral's name for it is "partial 16S ribosomal RNA". It matches the Rfam family "Bacterial small subunit ribosomal RNA", at positions 15 to 252 of the family's 1533-position model. The record is from RNAcentral.